Molecule: long non-coding RNA, 3642 nt
Organism: Cydia splendana
Lineage: Eukaryota; Metazoa; Arthropoda; Insecta; Lepidoptera; Tortricidae
Exons: 2
Source: RefSeq, a predicted model, not a curated record
AUAAAAAUACAUCAACAAAGUGGCUGAAGUGAUUGGAAAAUACAAAAGAACAAGGAAUUUUGACCAAGAUACGAUCAAUCAAAGGCUGCUGAAGUAUAGUCAUAAUCAUAAGUAAAUACUAGAGAAUAUACAUGGGAUCUGCUGACAGCUUAAUACAAUAGAACAUCGGAUUAUUUGAUAUUUUCUUGUAACUUAAUAACGUAAAAAUGUCACGCGCAAUAACUUGGACUGUGGGAGUUUUCCUUCUAGCAGUUAUUGUCACAACAAUUGCAGAGAAAAAACAAGAUGAAAAACCUGCGUUUAAAUUGACAACUGUUCCUUGGGCGGCUGCUUUGGUUUGCGCUGCUGUACUGGGAGUCAUCAUCUUUUGUUUCUGUACUAAGAUCAUUAGUUUAGUUUUGAUUGCUAUUAUUAUAGCAAUUUGUGGUGGCUUAACUUAUCUUUAUCUCAAAUGAUUUCAAUAAAACCUGAGGGCCUACCGCGAACCACGAUCAAUGUGUUGCCUCUCUGUUGCACUUGUAAAUACGUUCAUAAAUGUGACGGGGAGUUGCGUCGAACGUGGUUUGUGGUAGGCCCUCUGUUCAAAUUUUUGCUUAAAUGGUCAUAUGCUUGUAUGUGGAUCUGCAUCUUGGGUAGUGAACUCUAAUUUUAAUUUAUGCAUGGGUCCACAUUCUGGCAUACUAAGUAUUGAUUCAGUGGUUGUGUGUAAAAAAGGCAGUAUAGGGGUUGAUUAAUAACAGCUGAUAUAUAGUUGGUCAAGCAGAUAUUGUCAGUAGAAAAAGACACGAAACACAAAUUUUCUAUGGGACAGUGGCGGCGCGUCCAUAAAAGCCGAUUCCCACCGGCUUGCCUGUUUUUGGAUGUUUGAGCAGAGUUGUAAAGGAAAUAUGUAAGCCAAAUUAGCCCAAGUUAGUUAGUUUAGUUUAGUUUGCCUAUGGAUAUGUGUGACGCGCCACCACUGCUAUGGGACAAUAACCCUUCGCGCCUACAUUUUUUAAAUUUGCCGCCUUUUUCUACUGACAAGAUUUGCUUGACCAUCUGUAGAAUGCAUACUAAUCUGUAAAUAUUUUCCACAUGUAACAUGUGUGUCAGCUUAUACAAAGCAAUCUAUAGGCUCGCGUUUUGUAAGUCAAUUGGAUUGGGCCUAAUUUUGACCUUAAAGACCUUAAAAUUAUAUAUUUAUAGGUUAACUAUAAUAUAUAUGCACUGAAUGCCGAGAAACACAAAUUAGAACUUGACCUUUUUCAUGCCUUGUCCUGUAUCUGUCCUAUUUACUUGAACUUUGAAUAUUAUAAGAUAAGAUUUAUAAUGUUGUUUCAACAGAUUUAAUUUUUACAAAGCAUUUGGUAAAUUAAUUAAUCACUCACUUCAGUUAUUUCAAGGUAUUGUCAAUUUCUAUUGAAUAUUAAAUUCAUUAGUAAACAACUCAUGGUGAUUAGGAAUUUUCAUGCUUAAGCAGUUAAGUUCUUUUACCAUAAACAAUAAUUAAACAUUAUAAGUUAACAGUGUCAUAAAUAGGUCUUUAUUCAACAAUGUCAAUAUUUAGCAUUUGAACACACACUGUAGUAGCUAUUUUAAACUUGGUCUAUAAAUAAGUUGUCUUCUUCGAGGGUAUCUAAUAUCUUAUUCCUACAUUAAAUACCUACUUAUGUAUCAAAAACCCUGUUAAGUAAUGCAAAACAUUAUUUUCUAAAACCUAUAGUACCAAGUAAUCUUGUUAAAACAUAAGAAAGAAGAUCUUUAAAAACUACCCCAAAGCACCUGAUAAACUAAUUAGUUGAUUACUUAUAUCUAUGUCCAUUGUUUAUACAUAUACAUAUCAAUUGUUUUAGUUUUUGCAGCUAUUUAUUCAUGUAUUAGGUAAUAAGUUGAUAGUGAAAAUUUUGAAAAAUCUGUUCACCUUGAAUAUAUAUUAAUGAGGUAUGUACAGUCGCCUGCAAUAAUAUGUUACUCUUCGAAGGCUGCAAAAAUAUGUGACUCGCUCUUAUGGCUCUACAAAUAAGAUCGUGUCAGAUAUUUUUGCGGCCUUCGUUGUGUAACAUAUUAUUGCAGGUGACUGUACAUAAAAUUUAUUAAAUAUUUUAAUAUUUGCAUAAAUUACUAAUGACUGAAUCUUAAGUAGGUAGGUAGGUAUUGAAUAUCGAAAUAUUUAUUAAAUGAUUGCUGCAUAAUUUACGAAGUACCUGCUAACAUUUCGAAUAUAAGUUGAGUCUCUUCUUUGAGUAUAUUUUUUGUGAUAACACUGAGAGUACAUUUAUGUUACCAUAGAGAAAUAUUAGUAAAGAAAGAGUGGAAACUCCAUGCAUUAGUUUUCUUACCAAAACGCGAGUUAUUUCGUAGUCGUCAUCUAGCGUCAAGUAGCGGAACUAAUCAGUAUUGCUAGUUGACAAUAGAUGUCGCGACGAACGAAAACUCUAAUGCUCAACAAUUUUCAGCUAAUAUUAUAACCGAAUUAAGGGGCUACCCCAAGCCAAUGACCUUCGAUCUGAAUCCCUUAGUUUUCUAAUGUUUUUUGUAGCUUAUUAUAUUAACAGCAACGGCUUUAAGCAAUAUAGUUCCCAUGUUUACUUCAAAGUUCAUUGUCUUCGAGAUAUUUGGCAUCAAAGUUGAACAAUUUUAGGCUAAAAAACUGGUUUUCUGGCCAUAACUUUUGUGUUAAUUACCUAGUUUAAAAUUAAAACUAUUUUAAACCCUGGACACGCUGUUCGAGACGUCAAAGACGAACCCAAAUAUGUAGAUUUCGUACAUGUAAGAUCCUUUACUGCAAACUAGAUACGAAAAAAGUGUUUUUAUAGGCAAUGUUUAAAAAAAUUCAUAAAAAAAUGAGUAUUAAUUUUUUUCAAAAUCCGGUGGACAAAACCAGAGAUAAAAGAUUGAAAAACCGAUAACCGUUUGUCUUAUAAUUCUAUCUGUAGUGCAAAAAAAGGAGAUACGAUUCAAAACUAGUCAAAAAUCGAUGAAAACCUCGGGUAGCCCCUUAACUGAAACUCUAUUUUCAACUCCUUCUGCUUAUAAUAUUAGUUUUAAAUUGUUUUAGCAGUACAUUUUUAGUCAGCAGCGACACUUGUGACAUCUGCGGUCAAGUAGCGGUACUGAUAAUUCCACAACUUGACGUUAGAUGUCGACUACGAAAUAACUCACGUUUUGGUUAGAAAACUGAUGUAUGGAGUUACCACUCUUUCUGGGCAUCCACUGUUUAGAGUUUUAGAGGAACCUCGACACGAGAGAAGAGAAGAACCACUCUUUCUUUACUUAUAUUUAUCUAUGAUGGUACUUGUAUUUGUUUGUAGUAGAUGUAUUAUGCAUUGCAUGCAUAUGAUUUAUGAAACAAUAACUGUUGAUUUUAUUCAAUUUUAAUUAUGUUGAUUCAUUAGGUUAAAUAAGUGGAUUAUUAUUAUUAAAGCACAAUACUAAUAACGUAGUUAGGUAUUUAUUUUAUUUACAAAUGGUUAAGGGGUUAAUAAAAUUAAAGAUGAAUAAUUAGAUAAUUACUGUAUCAAUUUUUGAUAUUUAUACAUUCUAUUAUUUAUAAAUAUUAGGGUUUUACACCCUGGGUAUAAUAAUUAUAUUUUAGGUAAGGUAAACUGAAACGCACACUUUUACUAAAAUAAUAAUAAACGGUUUGGUGAUAUCUUCCAGAAA